AUACGUAGGGGGCGAGCGUUGUCCGGAAUGACUGGGCGUAAAGGGCGUGUAGGCGGCGGUGUAAGUCUGGAGUGAAAGUCCCGCAUUCAAUGUGGGAAUUGCUUUGGAUACUGCAGUGCUAGAGUGCGGAAGAGGUAAGUGGAAUUCCCAGUGUAGCGGUGAAAUGCGUAGAGAUUGGGAGGAACACCAGUGGCGAAGGCGACUUACUGGGCCGUAACUGACGCUGAGGCGCGAAAGCGUGGGGAGCGAACAGGAUUAGAGACCCUGGUAGUCCACGCGGGAAACGAUGAAUGCUAGGUGUUGCGGGUAUCGAACCCUGCAGUGCUGGAGUAAACACAAUAAGCAUUCCGCCUGGGGAGUACGGCCGCAAGGUUGAAACUCAAAUGAAUUGACGGGG
RNAcentral lists this ribosomal RNA (397 nucleotides) under uncultured bacterium. RNAcentral's name for it is "partial 16S ribosomal RNA". It matches the Rfam family "Bacterial small subunit ribosomal RNA", at positions 523 to 918 of the family's 1533-position model. The record is from RNAcentral.